Molecule: ribosomal RNA, 265 nt
Filed under: uncultured bacterium
Lineage: Bacteria
Description: partial 16S ribosomal RNA
Rfam family: Bacterial small subunit ribosomal RNA
Source: RNAcentral
AGCGAACGCUGGCGGCAGGCUUAACACAUGCAAGUCGAACGGGCACCUUCGGGUGUCAGUGGCAGACGGGUGAGUAACACGUGGGAACGUACCCUUUGGUUCGGAACAACUCUGGGAAACUGGAGCUAAUACCGGAUACGCCCUGAUGGGGAAAGGUUUAUCUGCCGAAGGAUCGGCCCGCGUCUGAUUAGCUAGUGGUGGGGUAACGGCCCACCAAGGCGACGAUCAGUAGCUGGUCUGAGAGGAUGAUCAGCCACACUGGGAC